Molecule: long non-coding RNA, 1243 nt
Filed under: Homo sapiens (human)
Lineage: Eukaryota; Metazoa; Chordata; Mammalia; Primates; Hominidae
Description: HSALNT0336019
Source: RNAcentral
UAUGAGAAGCAAAGCCUUUGGUUUCUUUAAGCCUCAAUUUCUUUCUUUCUUUUUUUUUUUAAUUUAUUUUUUUGAGACAGAGUCUCGCUCUGUCACCCAGGCUGGAGUGCAGUGGCACAAUCUCAGCUCACUGCAAUUUCCGCCUCCUGGGUUCAAGCCAUUUUCUUGCCUCAGCCUCCCAAAGUUCUGGGAUCACAAGUGUGAGCCACUGUGCCCGGCCUAUGCCUCAAUUUCUUCCUGCCUUACUAUAGGUACAUCAUAUUUAUUUAAUUCCCUAAGUCCCUCCUCAACAGAUUUUAUUCUACUACUGAAAUCCAGUCUGCAGAAACUAAAAGUUGUAUAGUGGAUAUGAAAUUUAUAUAACCACCAUAGUUCAGUAUCUCAGGGGUAAAAAUAAAAUGUGACUAUUUAUUUCCACAAAACUGAACCUAUCAAUUCAAGAUAACUUUUGCUUUAAAACUCACGACUCCUUGAAUCAAUAGUCAAUUUCUGGAUCUUUCUCCUCCUCCUAGGUCCUCUUCUCCCUGAAGGCUGUCACAGUUCCUGUGCAGAGAGAGAGGGCACUGCAGCACCCAGGCGCUGACUGCCUUUUGUCAGUCUCAUUUGCAGGCCCCCAGCUGGAGAACCCAGGAGGAAGAGGAAAAAAGUUUUUUCCUCCUCUACACUCCCCAUGCAUGACUAAAGAGUAGGAGGAGUCAGCAAGGCAGACAUAUAUAGUACCCAGGAGGUGGACAAACAACUGCCUUGGUGGAAACUCUGUCCUUUCUGGACUUAUCCUGGUGCCACUGAGACUGUGCAGGUCCCACACUUACAGGGAAAGCAUCACCCGAAAGUGAGAAUGCCUAGAGGCAGGAAUCAUGGAGGCUUCCUUAACCGUCUGUCUGCAACAGCAGGUGCUAGAGAUGACACUGCAGAGUAGAGAACAAAGGAAUCUUAGUAAUUGUUCAAUCCAAUCUCCACACUUUAAAGAUGAAGAAACUGGUAUUGAGAAAAAUACACAGCUUAUCCAAGGUUGCACUGCUGGUUGGUAGCUGAGAUGAAUUUAGAACCCACAUCUGAUGACUACACCAUAUUGCUCCCAGUUUUCCUGUCUGUUCCACAUGUAAAAGUCUGACUCUUCACUUCUCCUUUGAGUAUAUAGACUUUUAACAUUUUUGUAUGUCAAGAUGGACUUUUCCUCAUACCCAGCCCCUGCCUUUUCUCCUCCCUUCAUACCUUGCAGGAUCUUUAACAGAAUUUAAAA